AAUGAACGCUGGCGGCAUGCCUAACACAUGCAAGUCGAACGAAGGCUUCGGCCUUAGUGGCGCACGGGUGCGUAACGCGUGGGAAUCUGCCCCUUGGUUCGGAAUAACAGUUAGAAAUGACUGCUAAUACCGGAUGAUGACGUAAGUCCAAAGAUUUAUCGCCGAGGGAUGAGCCCGCGUAGGAUUAGCUAGUUGGUGUGGUAAGAGCGCACCAAGGCGACGAUCCUUAGCUGGUCUGAGAGGAUGAUCAGCCACACUGGGACUGAGGCACGGCCCAGACUCCUACGGGAGGCAGCAGUGGGGAAUAUUGGACAAUGGGCGAAAGCCUGAUCCAGCAAUGCCGCGUGAGUGAUGAAGGCCUUAGGGUUGUAAAGCUCUUUUACCCGGGAUGAUAAUGACAGUACCGGGAGAAUAAGCUCCGGCUAACUCCGUG
Molecule: ribosomal RNA, 433 nt
Filed under: uncultured bacterium
Lineage: Bacteria
Description: partial 16S ribosomal RNA
Rfam family: Bacterial small subunit ribosomal RNA
Source: RNAcentral